Molecule: unclassified non-coding RNA, 1888 nt
Filed under: Chelonus insularis
Lineage: Eukaryota; Metazoa; Arthropoda; Insecta; Hymenoptera; Braconidae
Description: gustatory receptor for sugar taste 64f-like, transcript variant X1
Source: RNAcentral
UAUUCACUUUCGAUCAUCUACUAGAAAAAUACUCUUUCAAUAAUAAUAUUUCAACUUUUGUUUUUAUUAAUUUAUUAUCAUAAUCCAAAUUGUCGAGUCAUUUCUAGAGCUUUUUCCUAUGAUUCAUCGCUGGGCAAGUGGAAUCCCCGGACAAGUCAAAUGAUACAACCUGAAAUGCGGAACUCAGGAUGCCCUAUGCAAAAUGCUGAUAGUCUUCAUGUUGCUCUCAGACCCGUUAUUUAUCUUGCACAAUGUUUCGCUCUCUUUCCUGUAAAUGGAAUCAAUUCAAAAGAUACUUCAGGUCUCAGAUUUACCUGGAGAAGCUUCAAAAUAUUAUAUGCAGCUGUAGUAUUGGGAAUGUCAAUUUUUUUAGCAAUUGCCAGUACCGUUCGUUUAUUUUCAUCAGAAUUUCAUACAACUAAAAUGACAACACUUGUAUUUUCUAUAACUACUUGCUUGACAAGUAUAAUCUUUCUAAGACUUGCUACAAAAUGGCCAGAAUUUGCAAGUUCUUGGGAAAAAGUUGAACGUGAAUUAGCAACUCGUCAUCGUCGUCCUCCUAAAUUUAACUUAACUACCAGAUUUAAAACUAUCACUGCUAUUAUCAUGAUUUUAGCUGUCGUUGAGCACACCUUUUCUCUUGCUUCGGGAUACAUAAGUGCAACAGAAUGUGCAAAUUAUCGAGGUGACAAAAAUAUCGCUGCAGUUUAUUACAAAACCCAAUAUCCUCAAGUGUUUAAUCGAACAUCUUACGCAUUAUGGAAAGGAAUUAUAGUUCAAUUUGGUCAUGUAUUUAGUACAUUCUCAUGGAACUUUAUGGAUCUAUUUAUAAUUCUUUUAAGUACAGCUUUGACUUAUCACUUUAGUCAACUCAAUGAUCGUUUAAAUUCUGUUAAGAAUAAGACAAUGCCUGAGUGGUGGUGGUCCCACGCAAGAAUCGAUUACAAUAAUCUUGCCAAUCUAACUCGACAAGUUGAUUCUUAUAUCUCCGUCAUUACCCUUUUAUCUUUUGGCACGGAUCUUUAUUUUAUCUGCCUCCAGCUGAUGUAUUCAUUUGACCGAAUAUCUACAAGUGUUAUGAGAACAAUCUAUUUAUGUUUUUCUUUUGGAUUUCUUCUUGCAAGAACUACUGCUGUUUGUUUAUCAGCAGCUGCUGUUCAUGAUGAAUCUGUGCUUCCUGCACCAGUUCUUUAUAGUGUUAAUGCCGCCAGUUAUUCCACUGAGGUUAUACGAUUUUUAACACAAGUAACAACUGACUUUAUUGGUUUAACUGGCAUGAAGUUUUUUUCAAUUACUAGAAGUUUUGUUCUUACAGUUGCAGGAACUAUCGUUACAUACGAAAUUGUUCUUGUACAAUUUAGUGCAGUUCAACAAGCAUCACAUAUAAAUAUCACCAACGCUUGUGAGUACGAGAUGGAAUUUGAAUUGCACAUCUAAGAAGGACAUUGUAUCAAUCACAACCAACCAUUGAUCAUAAGGAGUAUUGAAUCAGUCACAGCCAACCAUUCAUCAUAAGAAAUGAAUGUAACCUCACAUUUUUCAUCAAUUUUUAUGGUUAUUGAGGGUUUAACCUCUUUCGUAUCGGCAGGGUGGAGAAUAAAAUUGUUAUAUCUAUAAAAAACCGUAUGAAGAUGAGAAAUUUUAUGGAAAAAACAUCAGUUUUAUUUAUCAUAUCAUAUGUCUGUUACUCCAGAAUUUCAAGGUCGAAAAACGACGUAACAUAAAUUGAUGAAUAAAGCGCAGUAUUGUAUCCAGGGAGACGAGCGUGUGUAAAUUAAUGGGGACUGCAUAUAAAAAACAUAGUAAUCAUAAUCACUUGCUGCAUGAUAAAAAAUUUUAUUUUUUAUUAUGAUACAACAUAAACAAAUUAAAAGAUUAUCUCUGGCAU